UACGUAGGGGGCAAGCGUUGUCCGGAAUCAUUGGGCGUAAAGAGCGCGUAGGCGGCCCUGUAAGUCCGCUGUGAAAGUCAAGGGCUCAACCCUUGGAUGCCGGUGGAUACUGCAGGGCUAGAGUCCGGAAGGGGCGAGUGGAAUUCCUGGUGUAGCGGUGAAAUGCGCAGAUAUCAGGAGGAACACCAAUGGCGAAGGCAGCUCGCUGGGACGUGACUGACGCUGAGACGCGAAAGCGUGGGGAGCAAACAGG
This 253-nucleotide ribosomal RNA is filed under the name uncultured bacterium. RNAcentral describes it as "partial 16S ribosomal RNA". It matches the Rfam family "Bacterial small subunit ribosomal RNA", at positions 524 to 776 of the family's 1533-position model. The record is from RNAcentral.